AGAACCAUGUAUCAUGUGGCUGCUAACCUCACUUCAAAAGCCAGGAUCGCUAGGAAUAGUAGCCAACGGAUUGGUAGCAGGUUGAAUUGUAACAGAAACUAUGCGGCUAAGGAUAUUAAAUUUGGAUUUGAAGCUCGUGCAAUGAUGCUUAAAGGUGUUGAAGAGCUUGCUAAUGCU
Telopea speciosissima is the source of this 177-nucleotide long non-coding RNA. RefSeq lists it as uncharacterized. NCBI's taxonomy places the organism in Eukaryota, Viridiplantae, Streptophyta, Magnoliopsida, Proteales, Proteaceae. The transcript is spliced from 3 exons. The record is from RefSeq and is a predicted model, not a curated record.